UGAAUACAUAGGUUAACGAGGCGAACCGGGGGAACUGAAACAUCUAAGUACCCCGAGGAAAAGAAAUCAACCGAGAUUCCCCCAGUAGCGGCGAGCGAACGGGGAGCAGCCCAGAGUCUGAAUCAGCUUGUGUGUUAGUGGAACGGUCUGGAAAGUCCGACGGUACAGGGUGAUAGUCCCGUACACCAAAAUGCACAGGUUGUGAACUCGAAGAGUAGGGCGGGACACGUGGUAUCCUGUCUGAAUAUGGGGGGACCAUCCUCCAAGGCUAAAUACUCCUGACUGACCGAUAGUGAACCAGUACCGUGAGGGAAAGGCGAAAAGAACCCCGGCGAGGGGAGUGAAAAAGAACCUGAAACCGUGUACGUACAAGCAGUGGGAGCACCUUCGGGUGUGACUGCGUACCUUUUGUAUAAUGGGUCAGCGACUUAUAUUCUGUAGCAAGGUUAACCGUAUAGGGGAGCCGCAGGGAAACCGAGUCUUAACUGGGCGUUAAGUUGCAGGGUAUAGACCCGAAACCCGGUGAUCUAGCCAUGGGCAGGUUGAAGGUUGGGUAACACUAACUGGAGGACCGAACCGACUAAUGUUGAAAAAUUAGCGGAUGACUUGUGGCUGGGGGUGAAAGGCCAAUCAAACCGGGAGAUAGCUGGUUCUCCCCGAAAGCUAUUUAGGUAGCGCCUCGUGAACUCAUCUUCGGGGGUAGAGCACUGUUUCGGCUAGGGGGUCAUCCCGACUUACCAACCCGAUGCAAACUACGAAUACCGAAGAAUGUUAUCACGGGAGACACACGGCGGGUGCUAACGUCCGUCGUGAAGAGGGAAACAACCCAGACCGCCAGCUAAGGUCCCAAAGUCAUGGUUAAGUGGGAAACGAUGUGGGAAGGCACAGACAGCCAGGAUGUUGGCUUAGAAGCAGCCAUCAUUUAAAGAAAGCGUAAUAGCUCACUGGUCGAGUCGGCCUGCGCGGAAGAUGUAACGGGGCUAAACCAUGCACCGAAGCUGCGGCAGCGAC
This 1011-nucleotide ribosomal RNA is filed under the name Klebsiella variicola. RNAcentral's name for it is "partial 23S ribosomal RNA". It matches the Rfam family "Bacterial large subunit ribosomal RNA", at positions 159 to 1212 of the family's 2925-position model. Lineage: Bacteria; Pseudomonadati; Pseudomonadota; Gammaproteobacteria; Enterobacterales; Enterobacteriaceae. The record is from RNAcentral.